Molecule: long non-coding RNA, 2678 nt
Organism: Myotis brandtii (Brandt's bat)
Lineage: Eukaryota; Metazoa; Chordata; Mammalia; Chiroptera; Vespertilionidae
Exons: 4
Source: RefSeq, a predicted model, not a curated record
GGAUGGGUGAGACCGAGACAAAGCUCGAGAGAGGGAGCCAGAGCGGGAGAGACUGUGCGCGGGGACGCUGGCUCCGGGGAGGGCAGAGAAGCCGAUGAAACAAGGAGGGCGGCCGGCACCCCAGAUGCAGAGAGCGCCCCAGAGAUCCCGACAGUUGUUAUUGAAGAUGAUAGGAUUGAUGACGUGCUGAAAACUAUGACAGACAAGGCACCUCCUGGUAUUUAACUCCCCCAAAGACAAUGGGUUAAGGGUGAGGAUAAGAAUAAGAACGGCGCUAACAGUUAUUGGCAAAAAGAGUGUGAAAGGAGGAAGCACUUUGAAAUUUAUUACUAGCUUGCUACCUGCGAUGGAAUCAACAGCCUGUAUGUCGAGUCAGGCCGGGAGACAGAUGAUGAGGCGGGAGAAGGAGGAGGAGGAGGAGGAGAAGGCUCUGGGCUCCUCUGCAAAAAAUAAAAUUAAAAAAAUAAAUAACAAAAUCACUAUAUACACACACAUAUAAAGAAAUAAAGUCUCAGUUGCAGCUAUUUGUCAAAAUUAAUAUCCAUUUCUUUUUAUAUACAGUGAAUGUUGCGCAAUUAUAGAUCCGGAUUUUGAACCACUUUAAUAGUGAAGCGGCAGCACCGGGUGUUUGAGGUGGUGGCAACCUUCGCUGAUUUGGCUGUUCCCAAUGUUUACAUUAUUUAGUCUUGCAAAAAUUAUUCUGUGCACUUGGAUGUGAAAUGCUGUUCAGUUUUAUUUUUUUAUGUUGUUAUCCUUGGAUGUACAAAAAAAAAUACCAGAAAAUGAUCUGUAUAGAUAUUCUGUUUUAUUUUGGUCCUCUUUCAAAGUUAAUCAGGAAUGUGUUGAAGAUAAGAGAACUUUUCUAAGAAAUGAUGGCUACAUAGAAAGAAUCCCUGUUUUAUUUUAAAAUGAAUUGUAAAGCUGUGUUUCUUUCUUGCUGCAAGCUAUUUGCCCAAGUUAAUGCAAAUGGAUACAUUUUUCUAUGUCAGGAAAGAAAAACCAUAAAAAAAACAAAAACAAAGAAAAAAAAAUGCUUGAGCUUUUUCUAAUCUCUCUCUGCAGUCUGUUGGGUGAGCAGCCUGUUUUUUUCUCUGAUAUUGUGUCAGUUUAUUUUCUUUAAUGGACUGUAAAAAAAAAAUGUAAUCACAAGAGUGCCAAAUAUCUUGAAAUGCCAAACGGCAUUUUGGUUUCUUUUCUUUUUCUUUGUGCUCUGAGUCCACGUAAAGGAAUGCUUAGAGUGUCUUUUCUGUUAUUUAUAGGGGUUCUCUUAAGGCACACCAGCUGCCUGUUUUGCAUGGUAUUUGCAAAAAUGCCUCUUGCGUGAGGAAAUCUUUUACCAUCUUUUCGUUUGCAACUUUGGACCUCAAGAGGUUUCUUCCCUUCCCUUCCCUGGUCCUCUUUUCUUAAUUCGAUAUUCUGUAUGUUGCACCUUUAACCAGCACACAGGGCUAUUUCUCCGAUGUACAAUAAAAGAACUGUUCCUGUGUCUCACUCCUCUCUUUUCUCUGCUUUGGUUCUGGGGGAUUUGCUUUUUGCCUGUGAAGCAAAAAGGCAAAGUGGGAGGCACUGUGGACUGGGCUCUGAUGGUAGGAAAGACAAGCUGGACAGCAAGUUCAAAGAGCGAGUUCAUUCACUGUGUGGAUUUUCACUGGGCCUCCUUGCUUCCCUGAGGUUCCUGCCGUCGCUGGUGGGUGUGCAGAGAAGGAGGGCUGGUGUGUAGGGCGGCAGUCUUGUUAAGAACAGUGUUUGGAGGCUGGCAGACUGGAACUCAAAUCCCAGCUCCUUCACUUCUUAACUGUAUGGAUUUGAGCAAGACCCUUCACUUCUUCAAGCCUUUCGAAAUCUGUAACGUGGGGCUAAUGCAGCUCCCACCUCACAGGUUGUUGGGAGGGUUAACACAAUACCUAGCCCUCAGGAUCAUAUGUCCAUAUAAUCCUUUACCGAGGGCCACCUGUCCGAAAAUGCGGGGCCGAGGAAGAGCUAAGCCCCCCUCACCCCCUCUCCUUCCUGAGUUCACUGGUCUUGGCGUGAGGGAUGAGUCUGGUCCUCUGGGGUCCACGGCCUGGGGUGUCUCAGGCUUCCUCACUCAGAAGCUUCCCUGCAACCACCGCUCAAAAAGGCUCCUCAUGAAAAAACUUCUCAGCCCCUCGUGUUCAGGGCGGUUAAUGGCGGUGGAGCAGGCCCCUGGGGAAGGAGGGGUUGGGAGAAGGAUUUUGGCUGAAGAAAGGCUGUUCCACAUCCAGGAGCCCCAGUGCCGGGAGCUUUUAAUGUGUUUGUUGUAAAACUGUCAGCCUGGGAGUCACAACACAGCUCACAGUGACAGGAGCCUGCCUGUGACUCAGACAUCAGCAGUGUCAAGAGAAGUCUCCACCCCCUUCUAACCAGAUUGUCUGAAGUCUUCGCUCUAUGGAUGGAGACUAGCAGGUGAUGCAAGUGACCCACUUAUCUGCGGUUCAACUCUGCCUCCGUGUUGAGCAAGCCACUGUGGUCUAGAUGUAAUCGUGAGUUCCAGGCAAACCGGGGAAAAACAGAAAUGCCACAAGGCCCAAGGAACUGCCUGAUGACCGAUAGAUGGAACCUUACAAAAGAGAAAAAGAAAAAAAAGAGAGAGAUGAAAAAAACAACCAGCACCCUAAUAAAAGCAACUUCCUGUGGAGGGGAGCUGUCACUCGGCUUAG